AAAACUAAUUUUCGUGUGUCUAGAGAAGGUGGUCGUUGUGACGUGACGAACGAUUACGACGUGUUUUCUUACAUCACGAUGUUUUGUGCUUAACGAAACAUCACCCUCAGUGUAAAUAUUAGCACCUAAGGAGACAGAUUAAAUACUAUUUAUACGAUAUACAAAAUAAUGUAAACUAAAAAUCAAACUCCAGACAAAUCUAUCCGGCAGAUAAACAAAAUCGAAGGUAUUGAAAAAUUUAAUGUUAUUUCGCGUAGUCGCCUACAUGCAAAGAUGCUUGAUAUAUUGUAAAUCAAUACAAAAAUCGAAAUACAAAUUUUUACGUAUAAAUCAGUAUCAUCUAAUGGUAUUUUAGAUGGUUUUUUUUUGAGUUAGAAACAUAAUUAUGUUUCUGAAUAAUCGAAUCAAAAAUAACGAUCACUGGAAAGGACAUGAUCAUCUUUUUAUGGAUCCUAGUUUUCAGUUACUUAUGGGAUACCAACUACGGAUAUGUAGAAAUAGUUGAAACUCAAGGUUGCGACACCUGCAAGUUGAUGCUGACGUGUCGCCAUCUGACAGACGUGAUCGCUAUUCUGAAAGUCGAUUUCGUCGGGAUUCAAUCAAAUGGUAUUUUCGAAGUUUCCUCGAGAAACAAUACAUUCGUUAGUGUUAUUAACCCGCCUACUUUCCCUCCAGUCCAUCCCAGGGACGUACUUAAUGCAAGAUGUUCAGGUUUAAAUCAUUGCAGUUUUAUUUUUUCCGAAGACUGUCCAGGUUCGGAAAUAUUUGGUAGAGGAAAUAUAACGAUCGAAUAUGCUUGUAUCACGCAAGACAGAAUUCAUAAUUAUUGCAACGAUAUCAUCCAGCUCUCGGAUUUGUAUGGAAAAGGACUUUCGGAUGGAUACAUUCAUAAUCCCGGUUAUCCUAGAUUCUAUUCGGGACCGGAAUGUAAAUGGAAAAUCGUAGGGCAGGAUAAACAACGUAUUAAAAUAACUAUUCUCGAUAUAGCUUUAAUAGUUGAUCGGCCUAACUGUGCGGAUGUUCUAGAAAUAAAAGAUACAGAACAAGUUAUAUAUUCGACGUGUCGACAGGAACAUCCCCCUUCAGAAAUAAUUUCAGGAACCGAGUCAAUUGAAAUAGUACUGAAAUCUACACAAACGUUUAACCCUCGUAGAGGUGUUUUUAUACAUUAUACUGCUAUUGGAUGUCCCGAUAUUGAAAUUCCCCAAGACGCCUACUUAAUUUAUAGAAAUAUUAAUUUAAUGGUAUUUAGUUGCUGUUUAGGAUACACGUUUCCGGAUACGCGUACUAGAAUCAAAACCGUCGGUUGCCAGGGGGCGUUAUGGAACACUACACUGCCACUUUCGCAUUGUCAAAGUGAGUAUUUUAAUUAAAAUUAUCGACAAAAUCGAAUAUUUUAGAAUUUAGAAACCCAUCGGAAAAAUUUUUCGUACGCCUAUGUGUUAUGCGUCACAAUAUAAUCAGCAGUAAUUUAUCUGACCUUUGAACGUCCGACUAACAUAGUUAAUGUCAAAAUUUUCUUCUUUUAUUAUCUAAAUUCGUUAUUAACGAUAUAUGACGUAGCAACUCGGAAAAAGAAGAAGAAAUGUAACCGAAAUUAAUACAGUUCUUAUUUUAUUUUAACGUAUAAAAGCCAGACAGUGUUUUUUAUUCGGCUGUUAACUUUAUAAUAAAAAUAAGACGCCAUUUAAUAACGUAUUCGAUGUUUUUACCUACUCUUUUAAAUUGUACUUUUCUUACUUUAUCUCUCUAAACCUCCCUUUUCUUUAUCCACCCUUGAUAAAUCCAUCGUCUGUGCAGAAAAUUGAAUUCGAUGUUAUUUACUUUUGAGGAUCUGAUCGUUUCCAGAUGGUUGAACGUUAAAGGGUGUGGACAAUUGCACUGAAGGUUUAAAGAUUGCAAUUUUUUUAGAAAAUUUAUAUUUGAUAUAUUCAUUUUGUAUACGAUUUGUAUACGGGUCCAAUAAUGUUUUUUACACAAUUUUAGUCUUAUUUAUAUUGAUUGUUAGUGAGCUUUUAUGGCGAUUCAAUUUCAACAAUUGUUAAAUGUUGGGGUUCACCGUAUUUUUGGUGAUAAUUUUUUUUUCAUUUUGUCUAUUAUUUUGGUUCAUUUGAGAUAAAACUGGGACUUUAAUUUUAAAACGAAAAUUUCAACUCUUUUGGAUCAUUAAAAAAUCCAAAAAUCAUAAAUUUUCCAUUUUGCCUUAAAAAACUGUAUUUUUUGCUAAGAAUGUGUUUUUUGUAUCGGAAAGUACAUAAAAACAAAAUUUGAUUAAAAAUCUCAACCUAACCUUGAAAAUUACAAUUUUUUGAACAAAUAUUAGGGAGGUCCUCAUUUCCAAAUAAGGUUUUUUCUUUCAAAUUGUAAGUUUUGGUAAAUACUUUUCGAAAAAAAAUGUGAAAUAAAUUUUUCGAUAACAAAUUGAGAAAUUUAUGGUUUUUGGAUUUUUUAUUAACCGAAAAAAUAUGAAAUUUUCGUUUUUAAACCUAGGUUUCAUAUACGCUGAAAAAAUAAACAAACUAUAUGAAAUCAACAUCAACAAAUUGUAAAAAAAUCGUAUAAGUUCAUCAUCGAGAUUAAAUUAAACUCUCCCGUGCAAUUACUCCACGCCUAGAUAAAUAAAGUGAGCUCCAGUAUCCAUUUGGUCGCCAAACGAAAAUUAGUAACAAAAGUUUAGAAACAGUGCGCUGAGAACUAACUAACUAAACGUUUACCGUGUCAUUAUUUUUCUCAUUAACCAAAGUGUCCGCUGGAUUUUUAGAAAUAAAAACAAAUGAAGAAAUAGCGUAAACUAGAAUCAACUACUCCAUAUUGGAAGGAAUCAAAAGAAAUAAUAAGAAUAUUUCCUAGUAAAGUAGAAGACAAUAUGGCUUCAGAACUAGUUUUACCAGCCACUUUAGUCGUAUGUCUAUUUGCUAUAAAUGCUGUAGUCAUAUUUUUCAUAUACAGGGCGAAAAAAAGGAAGUGACGGACGUAAAAGAAGAAGAAUUGAAUUCUUUUACACAUUCUUCACCUGUUGUAUAAGAAUUGCCUUAAUUUAAUUGUAUAAAAAAAUAUUUUUUCUUAUAUAUGUCGGAAUAUAUAUUGUUAUUUCACAUUUUGACUUGAAAAAUAAAAAAAAACAGUA
Molecule: RNA transcript, 3127 nt
Organism: Diorhabda carinulata
Lineage: Eukaryota; Metazoa; Arthropoda; Insecta; Coleoptera; Chrysomelidae
Exons: 9
Source: RefSeq, a predicted model, not a curated record